UACGGGGGGGGCAAGCGUUGUUCGGAAUUACUGGGCGUAAAGAGCUCGUAGGCGGCUUGUUGCGUCAGCUGUGAAAACCCGCGGCUUAACCGUGGGCCUGCAGCUGAUACGGGCAAGCUAGAGUUCGGUAGGGGAGACUGGAAUUCCUGGUGUAGCGGUGAAAUGCGCAGAUAUCAGGAGGAACACCGGUGGCGAAGGCGGGUCUCUGGGCCGAUACUGACGCUGAGGAGCGAAAGCGUGGGGAGCGAACAGG
This 253-nucleotide ribosomal RNA is filed under the name uncultured bacterium. RNAcentral describes it as "partial 16S ribosomal RNA". It matches the Rfam family "Bacterial small subunit ribosomal RNA", at positions 524 to 776 of the family's 1533-position model. The record is from RNAcentral.